GGCCACGCAGAGUGGCUUGAUGCCUGGCGUGCAUCGAUCAAGGCUGAUCCGCAUGCGCCGUUGCUGCCGCUGCAACCGCAGUCG
This 84-nucleotide transfer RNA is filed under the name Pseudomonas synxantha. Its description in RNAcentral is "tRNA-Ala(ggc)". The record is from RNAcentral. Lineage: Bacteria; Pseudomonadati; Pseudomonadota; Gammaproteobacteria; Pseudomonadales; Pseudomonadaceae.